Molecule: ribosomal RNA, 253 nt
Filed under: uncultured bacterium
Lineage: Bacteria
Description: partial 16S ribosomal RNA
Rfam family: Bacterial small subunit ribosomal RNA
Source: RNAcentral
UACGGAAGGGGCAAGCGUUGUUCGGAAUCAUUGGGCGUAAAGGGCGCGUAGGUGGUUCUGUAUGUCUACCGUGAAAGCGUACGGCUCAACCGUAUUUUGUCGGUGGAAACUGCAGGACUUGAGGCUGGGAGGGGCUGGUGGAAUUCCCUGUGUAGCGGUGAAAUGCGUAGAUAUCGGGAGGAACACCAGUGGCGAAGGCGACUUCCUGGCCUGUUCUUGACGCUGAGGCGCGAAAGCUAGGGGAGCGAACAGG